CUCGCAAGAGCAAGCAGGGGACCUUCGGGCCUUGCGCUACCGGAUAUGCCCAGGUGGGAUUAGCUAGUUGGUGAGGUAAGGGCUCACCAAGGCGACGAUCCCUAGCUGGUCUGAGAGGAUGGAUCAGCCACACUGGAACUGAGACACGGUCCAGACUCCUACGGGAGGCAGCAGUGGGGAAUAUUGCACAAUGGGCGCAAGCCUGAUGCAGCCAUGCCGCGUGUAUGAAGAAGGCCUUGGGUU
RNAcentral lists this ribosomal RNA (243 nucleotides) under uncultured Vibrio sp. RNAcentral's name for it is "partial 16S ribosomal RNA". It matches the Rfam family "Bacterial small subunit ribosomal RNA", at positions 193 to 424 of the family's 1533-position model. The record is from RNAcentral. Lineage: Bacteria; Pseudomonadati; Pseudomonadota; Gammaproteobacteria; Vibrionales; Vibrionaceae.